Molecule: ribosomal RNA, 454 nt
Filed under: uncultured bacterium
Lineage: Bacteria
Description: partial 16S ribosomal RNA
Rfam family: Bacterial small subunit ribosomal RNA
Source: RNAcentral
GAUGAACGCUGACAGAAUGCUUAACACAUGCAAGUCUACCUGAACUUCGGUUUGGGUGGCGGACGGGUGAGUAACGCGUAAAGAACUUGCCUCACAGUUAGGGACAACAUUUGGAAACGAAUGCUAAUACCUGAUAUUAUGAUUUUAGGGCAUCCUAGGAUUAUGAAAGCUAUAUGUGCUGUGAGAGAGCUUUGCGUCCCAUUAGCUAGUUGGAGAGGUAACGGCUCACCAAGGCGAUGAUGGGUAGCCGGCCUGAGAGGGUGAACGGCCACAAGGGGACGGAGACACGGCCAUUACUCUUACGGGAGGCAGCAGUGGGGAAUAUUGGACAAUGGACCAAAAGUCUGAUCCAGCAAUUCUGUGUGCAAGAUGACGUUUUUCGGAAUGUAAAGUGCUUUCAGUUGGGAAGAAAAAAAUGACGGUACCAACAGAAGAAGUGACGGCUAAAUACGUG